RNAcentral lists this ribosomal RNA (253 nucleotides) under uncultured bacterium. RNAcentral's name for it is "partial 16S ribosomal RNA". It matches the Rfam family "Bacterial small subunit ribosomal RNA", at positions 524 to 776 of the family's 1533-position model. The record is from RNAcentral.
UACGUAGGGUGCGAGCGUUAAUCGGAAUUACUGGGCGUAAAGCGUGCGCAGGCGGUUUUGCAAGCCGGGUGUGAAAUCCCCGGGCUUAACCUGGGAAUGGCAUUUGGGACUGCAAGGCUGGAGUGCGGCAGAGGAGACUGGAAUUUCUGGUGUAGCAGUGAAAUGCGUAGAUAUCAGGAGGAACACCGAUGGCGAAGGCAGGUCUCUGGGCUGACACUGACGCUCAUGCACGAAAGCGUGGGGAGCAAACAGG